This 660-nucleotide unclassified non-coding RNA is filed under the name Hevea brasiliensis (rubber tree). Lineage: Eukaryota; Viridiplantae; Streptophyta; Magnoliopsida; Malpighiales; Euphorbiaceae. The record is from RNAcentral.
AAGAUGAAGACUCUAAGCACCUGAUUAAAUUGCAACAAAAAGCCUUUUGCAAACCAGCUUAUGCUUGUAACCACAAUUUAAUUAUAUUUAUAUAUCACCAAACUUUGUGCUAACACUUGCUUAGAAAGUUUGGAUCCUGAAAGUUGAACUACUACUACUACUACUAACAAACUAACUUCAGAGGAAUAGCUUCUCCUUUUAUUUCAGAAUUGCUGCCCCGAAACUUGAAAAUGCAAGGAUCGGCAUCAACUAGCAACUUCACCACUUCUCUCAUGUUAGGUCGCAGGUUUGGAAGUUUAGUGGUGCAGAGGAUAGCAAUCUUCAAUACUUUAAUCAUGUCCUCUUGGACAGAUUCAGAUGUAACCUUGCUGUCAAGAACCUUGAGGACAUUUUCGUUGUUAUUGACAUGCUUCCAAACCCAGUAGACAAUAUCUUUCCCUUCUCCAUAUGCCUCAUCAAUAGGUUUCCUACCAGUGACUAAUUCUAGCAGCACAAUGCCAAAACUAUACACAUCACUCUUUUCUGUAACUUUAAGAGUAUAUGCCAUCUCAGGAGCAAUAUAUCCAUGAGUGCCUGCAAGAGAGCUAAUAUCACAACCCUUCCAGGACAUUUCUGCAAGCUUUGCAACCCCAAAAUCAGCAAUUUUUGGCUCGUAAUCUU